Molecule: ribosomal RNA, 229 nt
Filed under: uncultured bacterium
Lineage: Bacteria
Description: partial 16S ribosomal RNA
Rfam family: Bacterial small subunit ribosomal RNA
Source: RNAcentral
UGUGUAGGCGGGACAGUAAGUCAGAGGUGAAAUCCCACGGCUCAACCGUGGAACUGCCUUUGAUACUGCUGUUCUUGAGUCUCGGAGGGGUUGCUGGAAUUCGUGGUGUAGCGGUGAAAUGCGUAGAUAUCACGAGGAACACCAGAGGCGUAGGCGGGCAACUGGACGAGUACUGACGCUGAGGCACGAAAGCGUGGGGAGCAAACAGGAUUAGAUACCCUGGUAGUCC